CUUGCUCCGUGUUAAAUUUUUCACCAACAUGCGAUAUUUAAAUGGCGGUUUCACCCACGAAAAAGGUUAGGUGUCCGCAGCGCUUUCGAUCAGUAACCGCUUGGGCAACCGUGUCUUCUCCUGCGGGCCAUCAGUUCAUCCUUUCACGGGGUACGUAGAGCAUCAAUAUAAUACGUAAUACAUGUGAUGAUACAUCAAAACCUAUCAUGCAAGCAUUUGUAUCAAAAAAAAUAAAUAAAAAAUAACGAUGAUGAUGAUCAUCGUAAUAAACAAAUAGAAAACACUGGGGAAGGGCUCUAAACCCAAUAAAUAAAAUACGUAUCGGAGAAACAGGACACUUGAAACCCAUUAGCUGAGCA
This 359-nucleotide long non-coding RNA is filed under the name Elaeis guineensis (African oil palm). RNAcentral describes it as "long non-coding RNA (EGUI_LNC015372)". The record is from RNAcentral. Lineage: Eukaryota; Viridiplantae; Streptophyta; Magnoliopsida; Arecales; Arecaceae.